RNAcentral lists this ribosomal RNA (253 nucleotides) under uncultured bacterium. Its description in RNAcentral is "partial 16S ribosomal RNA". It matches the Rfam family "Bacterial small subunit ribosomal RNA", at positions 524 to 776 of the family's 1533-position model. The record is from RNAcentral.
UACGGGGGGGGCAAGCGUUGUUCGGAAUUACUGGGCGUAAAGGGCUCGUAGGCGGCCAACUAAGUCGGACGUGAAAUCCCUCGGCUUAACCGGGGAACUGCGUCUGAUACUGGAUGGCUUGAAUCCGGGAGAGGGAUGCGGAAUUCCAGGUGUAGCGGUGAAAUGCGUAGAUAUCUGGAGGAAUACCGGUGGCGAAGGCGGCAUCCUGGACCGACAUUGACGCUGAGGAGCGAAAGCUAGGGGAGCAAACGGG